RNAcentral lists this ribosomal RNA (460 nucleotides) under uncultured bacterium. RNAcentral describes it as "partial 16S ribosomal RNA". It matches the Rfam family "Bacterial small subunit ribosomal RNA", at positions 338 to 795 of the family's 1533-position model. The record is from RNAcentral.
CCUACGGGGGGCUGCAGUGAGGAAUAUUGGUCAAUGGACGAGAGUCUGAACCAGCCAAGUAGCGUGAAGGAUGACUGCCCUAUGGGUUGUAAACUUCUUUUAUAUGGGAAUAAAAUGUUCCACGUGUGGGAUUUUGUAUGUACCAUAUGAAUAAGGAUCGGCUAACUCCGUGCCAGCAGCCGCGGUAAUACGGAGGAUCCGAGCGUUAUCCGGAUUUAUUGGGUUUAAAGGGAGCGUAGGUGGAUUGUUAAGUCAGUUGUGAAAGUUUGCGGCUCAACCGUAAAAUUGCAGUUGAAACUGGCAGUCUUGAGUACAGUAGAGGUGGGCGGAAUUCGUGGUGUAGCGGUGAAAUGCUUAGAUAUCACGAAGAACUCCGAUUGCGAAGGCAGUUCACUGGACUGCAACUGACAUUGAGGCUCGAAAGUGUGGGUAUCAAACAGGAUUAGAUACCCUUGUAGUC